CUUCAAUUGAGUUCAGCUAGGAAACUCACUGAAUCAGACCAACAACUUAAAUUUCAAUUCCACAAAGGCCCUCUUCUAACCGGUAAAAUUUCUGUAAACCUUAUUUGGUAUGGAAAAUUCAAACCAUCUCAACGAGCGAUCAUAACUGAUUUCAUAACCUCGUUGUCUUCUCCCAUAAAACCAAAAACCACAACACAACCAUCGGUUGCCACGUGGUGGAAAUCAACUGAAAAAUAUUACCAACUCACUAACAACAAGAAAUCAGUUAACCUAGCUCUAUCACUAGGUACUCAAAUUUUGGACGAGAAAUACUCUUUAGGAAAAUCUCUCACAACUAACCAAAUCCUUAAACUCGCAUCAAAAGGACAACAACAAAACGCCAUCAACGUUGUCCUAACAGCCGCUGAUGUGUUAGUUGACGGUUUUUGUUCAAGUAGGUGUGGAACCCAUGGUUCUUCUUAUGGUGCACGCGUGAAUGGAAAGAGAAACAAGUUCGCAUACAUUUGGGUUGGAAAUUCAGAGACACAAUGUGCUGGUCAAUGCGCGUGGCCAUUUCAUCAACCAAUUUAUGGUCCACAAAGUGCUCCGUUGGUUGCACCAAAUAACGAUGUGGGUCUUGACGGAAUGGUUAUAAAUGUUGCUAGUCUUUUAGCUGGAACCGUAACCAAUCCUUUUGGUAACGGUUAUUUUCAAGGACCAAAAGAAGCUCCUUUGGAAGCUGCUUCGGCUUGCACCGGUGUUUAUGCUAAAGGAGCUUAUCCUGGUUAUGCUGGGGACCUUUUGGUGGACAAAACAAGUGGUGCUAGCUACAACGCUAAUGGUGAUAAUGGAAGGAAGUAUUUGUUGCCUGCUAUUGUUGAUCCUAAAACUUCAGCUUGUUUUACAUUGGUAUAAAGAAUAAUUGUUUUGUUGUUAGGCAAUGAGAGAUUCUUUGAUUUAUUCAUUCAAUUAGUUGUUAUAACCUCGAAAUUAAUCUUUUAUUCUUUGAUUCUUUUUAAUCUUAAUAAAUAAAUAAUAUCAAUAUUAUUAUAUUGUCCUCCAUACAUGCAACACAUGUACAGACGGACGACGGUGCACAUGGCAUACUCUAUCCAUCUCAACGAUAAACAUUCACACAAAUCAAAUUUUAUUGAAUGAAGCAAAGAUAUCAUAAUUUUACCAUUGUAGUCUUACUAUAUAUCCUGAUGCAUAAUAAAUAGAAAGUGAAAAGAAAAAAAAAUAGAACGUGAAAAAUUGAGUUGAGAGUUAUGAUGAGAUUUGCAUGAAGCUUAUAGUUGGCCAGUUGACUAUGAAUGUGACUAAUACACCGUUCAAUUCCAAAUCAAGCUACUUAAUAUUAUUAUAAUUUUUUUUCCUUUUUUUGGUAUUAAAUUUAAUUUUUCCAUUUUUUUUUCUUUUUAAAAGAAAGAGUUGGGGAGUGUUGAAGCACAUAGUAUAAAUUAAAUGGUAAAAUUGAAAAAGAGAUAGUUAAUAUUAUACUGAAAAUUGAAAUAAUACUCGAUUUUAGAUAAACUUCUUUGGCAAAUGUCCCACUCAUAAUGUGACACAAUGAUUAUUUUGAAUGAUUUUUUUUUUUUUAAGAAAUUAUUUCAAUGACUAAAUAAUUCAAUUUCUUGAUGAUAUCAUCGUAAGUAGACAUGACAACACAACCCGUCCCCAUUGGAUCCCACCCACCCCGUCCCGAUUUUAAUGGGGAAAAGCCGAAUUGGUUAUGGGUGCGGGUUUGGAGAAAACCCGGAGUUUUAAUACGGGGGCGGGGGAUACUCACACUCGCCCUCGCCCCGUUUUUUUAAAUUACUAUUUUUAUCCUUAUUUUUUAUAGUCAUAUUACUCAUAUACCCUUCUUAAUCUUAACAUAGAAGCUUUUGUUUUAAUUAUCUUGCCACUAAACAUAUUUUUUCACGAUGAUGUUAUGAUCUCUAAUGAAUUUAGAAGCUUUUGUUAUUAGCUCUUUUUGUUAUUGUGAAAAAAUAAAAUAAAAAAUUGUCUACAAUUUUCGCGGGUGGGGUUGGGGAAAUCCGUCCCCGUUGGGGCAGGUCCGGGUGUAAAAUUUCUAUCCAGACGGGUUUGGGGGUGGGGGCGGGGCUGGGUACAAUGAAACAGGGACGGGGCCGGGUAUGUUAAAACUUGCCCCCGCCCCGUUGCCAUGUUUAAUUGUAAGAUCAUGUAAAUUAAUUUUUUUCCGUGAAUUUAGUUCAGUUGAUAAGGACAAUGCAUAAUAUAGAUAAGAUUCGAUUUUUCAGACAAAAAAAAAAAAAAAACUAAUUUAUUUCCAAAAACAACCCUUAAAAUAUUACUAAAGAAGUAAAUUUGUAUGGAUAAAUGGCGUUAAUUUCAUAAUUCCAACUUCAACUAAUGCAUAUGCAAUGGUUUAUAUAAAAAAGGUUGCCUUUUCUUGUCGAAAAAUAUAAUAGAGAUUAUCUUUAAAAAAAAAAUAAUGUUAAGGGUUCAGUUUAAAAUUAUAAUCUUUAUCAUUAUUGUCAAUAUUAAUUUUUUUAUCAAGUAGGUUAGUGUUAGAAUUUCAUCUUUAAAAUGCAUAAGUCGUGAAUCCAAAAUUCACACCAUAUCAACUAAGUUAUGCUCACGAAGACUCUUUAUUAUCAAUAUUACUCACAAAACAUUUCAUCAUAGUUGAUCCAUAAUAGAAUCCUCGCAAUUACUACCAUAUUCAAUAUACAACUACUAUUAAAAAAAAGUGAAGAAUUCACCAACACCCCUUCAUUUUGGAACCUCUAGAUCAACAGGCUAAUGCCAUGUUAGAGUCGAACUUAACGAUGGAUACGUCACCUAGUACAACUCAACAGUCUUUGGUGACGGUUCAAGAAACAGAUACGAAUGCUACUCUUAGGCAUUCUGAGGCGUCAAUUCAUCCGACUCUACAAAAGGAAAUUGAUCUUGUUCAGCAUUUGUUGAUUCAAAGAAAAAUGUUGAGGUGCCAUUUACGCAUUAUCUUACAAAAGGUCAAAAAUAGAAAAUUAGCAAGGCAACAUAUCACACCCGAUCUAUGAAUUCCCCUAUAGAACCGAAGGGUGGUUGAGCAGCCUCUUUUUCUUUUGGGCCAUUUUUUUCUUUCUUCGUUUAGUUUUUUUUUGUUUUUUUCUCUUACUUUCUUUCGGUUUUGUUUUGAGGGUUUUGGUUUAGCCCCCUCUUGUAUAGUUUCUUUCUUUUUUAUUUAUAUUAUGAGUGGGUGGCAGUGUAAGGCUUUCUUGAGAUGCCAACGGUGUUGUGAUGUCCGAAUGAUCCACUCGAAAAUCAGUUGUUAGAAUUAACAGGUCUUCAAAUCGUUCAUUUAAAAAAAAGGAAACCCGAUUUUUCAAACUCUCAUUGUUGUUUUAACUCGCUCUAUUUUAUUGAAAAAAAAUAAAAUACAUUUACACUUUGCAAGACUAUAUCUAUGUGUUUGUGUCUUGUUAGACUUUGUAGAUCUCUUGUUAUUUGUUAAUAACUUGAUAAUUUUAAUUUAUCUGUAUAUUUAUGUUUUUUUUUUUCUUCCAUGUCUUGCUAAUAUAUAAGCAUUUGUGUUUGACCAUAAAGUUUAUUAAAGAUUUUAGUAUUUUUCAAUAACAUUUUUAACUUACUAAAAUGUAUUUUCUAUUUAUAUACACGUUUAUUUGUUUUGAUAACUAUUUUAUUGGUGCAAAAUAUCUACCAAUAAUAUUAAUGAUUAUUCUCCGCUUCAGAACCUAUUUUUCAAAUUCAAGGGAUCUCCUCUCGGAACAACAUAUUUUUCAUCCACCGUGCGUGGAUCUGAGACCUUAAGAGAUCCGAGUAAAAUUCCACAAAGACCAACAUAAUGUUAGUGUGUAUAUAUUUAUUGAGUGUAGCUACCGAUAGUUGAUGCUUAUUCUGCGAAACUAGAAUUUUCAAUGACAUCUAUUUGUUUUAAUUAAUAUUACAUAUAUAGAGACUCAAUAAUAAUUUUAUGUGUUCUAAAUUUCUACAUGAUCCUAUCUUUGUUGUUUUGUCUAGUUUUCCACUCGUGCCGAAUUUAAUUGAGCAGUGUUGACAACACUUUUGUUUUAACAUUCUCUUCAACAUUUACUUUUUUAUUUGCUUAAAUCAAAUAGGUGUCACACUUUAAAAUUGAAUUACACUUGUUAUGGUCAUAUAUUAACGUCAUCCAAUAAAAAAAUAAGUGUUGAUGAGAAUGUUGAAAAUAAAGUGUCAUCAAAAUUUCUUAUUUUAAUUUGAACAUGUUGUGUUUAAAUCUCAUUUUUCACAACAAAUGUGAUGUUUUACCGAUACCCUAAUGUGUGUACGAGGGUAUGAAGGUAAGACUAAGAACUAAGAAACUAUACGGUAUAUAUACUUUAUCUCAUUUUUUGUUACAUUGCAUCAAAAACCCACAUGAUAUGUCAUGUUAGCCAUGUCAUCUAACUUAGAUUGAAAGAUGAAAUUAAAGACUAAACCAAUGGGGGCUAUUCAGAGAAAUUUAUUGGAUCAUCUUAUGUCGUUUUGUGGGUUAGGGGGUAUGUCAAAAAUGUUCGGGUGGCUCUUAACAUCAUUUGGGUUUUGGAUGUGUGGGGUUAUUUAGCACCAGAGAAAUAGACUCAAAUUCAAUCAUAAGGAGGAAUAUUUGCAAUCUUAUGCGAAAAAGUUAAGCUUUAAUCAUUUUCGUGGUUGAAAUUAAGAUAUAUUACUUUCGAUUUCGAUUAUCAUUUUUUGAGGCUUAAUCAUAUUCAUUGCCUAACUGUUCUAACUUAGCUUAUUGUAUCUUCUUUUGUUUUGUUUAUCUUGUAAAGUUAAGUCGUUUCUGAUACAUCUUGUGCUGAAAGAUUUGUUUUGGUUGGUAAUUUAUAUAUUUCAUUUUGGUCUCUUAGAAAAAACUAACAAUGGGGAUAUAGGGAUUAAAAAAAUUGUUAAAAAAACAUAGGGAUAAGAUCUAAAAUAGAGAAUUGAAUGACUAAAAUUGGCUAUUUACAUAAGUAUACGUAUGGAAGUUUUGCAAAUGUCCUUUUAACCUUAAAACUUAUCUUAACAUUGAUGAGUCUGAAUCUCAACUCUCGUAAACUUUUAUGUAAAAAAAAAAAAAAAAAAACACAAAUGGAGAAAAUAUAAAGACAUUACCUAAAACAAGUGAAGAUUAAAAUUGCACAUUCUCAAUACAAUCAAAUUAAGUGCAAUUUUCUUAAAUUAUACUUCAUAUAUCGCUAAUUAUAAGAUCUGUUUUAUUUUUAAAGGUCUAAUUAUAAGAUUUGUUACAAAAAUUUGUUUGUCCCUUAAUACAAAAGUAUCUAUAAAUUUUGGGGUAAUAGUCCCUUUGGUCCAUUAAUUUGUAAUGAGCAGUUACAAUGAUCCUUAAAUGUAUAAAAGUAUCAAAAUAGUCUAUGAUUGUGCAAUUUGUUAGUCAAAAUAGUCUUUGAUGUUAAAAUACUUCAUUAAUAUUGUCAUAUUACCCCGUCAAUAUACUUACUUAUUGUCAUAUCAGUCUUUAUAAAUACUUAAUUAUUGUCAUUUUAAUCCUUAUAUGAAAAGAGUUAUUGUGAACGUACAUUGAGAGAUUACUUUAGCGCCAGAGACCAUUUUGAGUAACAGAGUGCACAAUCAGAGACUAUUUUAAAAUUUUGAUAUAUCGAGAGACUAUUGUGACUACUCAUUACACAUUCAAGAACCAAAUGAUUAUCCCAUAAAUUUUUAAAUACAUUGAUUAUUUUUUUUCUAAAUAUCUAUUAUUAAUACAACCACUCUAUCUUAGAAUAUAAAAAAUAUUUACAUUGAAAGUAUUUAUACAACAAGAUAUUUUAUAAUAGUUAGAGACAUUUGGAACAAAUUUAUUCUUUCUUAUAACUUUUCUUAGCAUGAUUUUUAUAAGAGAUGGAUAGAAUAAAAGUGAUUGAUCAUCAAUCACGCAAAAGAAAAGUUGUUACGCUCUUCCAUGGACAAUGGACCCAAAAGCUAGUGGCAUACCUUGUACAAAGGAUACACAGCUUUGUCGUUUGGUUUCAUACAUGUGCUGUUAAUUGUCCCAAAUCUAUGAAUUCAUGCAAACUGGAAUAAUAAAAUAUCAACGCGUAAUAUAGCUGGCACAUCCUCCACUCACCCUCCAACAUAAUUUGACUUCAACUAUAUACCUUUCUAUUUUACACGUUAAUUAAUUCCUUUUAAAUACACUUUCCACUAUAUAUAUACCUACAACCCCAUCUUACAUUUCCAUCAGCACAUAACAUUUCCACAUUCCUUCUACUUCAUACUUUGUUCUAUCUCAAUACAUAUCCCAAAUGGCAUCUUUUAAGUUAAGUGCAAUCUUUACUCUUUUUCUCACAAUUUCACUACUUCAUUUAAUCUCAGCUGCUAGAAAAUUCACUGAAUCAGACCAACAACUUAAAUUUCAAUACCACAAAGGCCCUCUUCUCACCGGAAAAAUCUCAAUCAACCUCAUUUGGUAUGGAAAAUUCAAACCAUCUCAACGAGCCAUCAUAACUGAUUUCAUAACCUCCCUCUCUUCUCCUAAACAAGGAACAACCACAUCACAACCAUCCGUUGCCACGUGGUGGAAAUCAACCGAAAAAUAUUACCAACUCGCGAACAAUAAGAAAUCAGUUAACCUAGCUCUCUCACUAGGUUCUCAAAUUCUCAAUGAGAAUUACUCAUUAGGAAAAUCUCUCACAACUAACCAAAUCCUUAAACUCGCAUCAAAAGGACAACAACAAAACGCCAUCAACGUUGUCCUAACAGCCGCUGAUGUGUUAGUUGACGGUUUUUGUUCAAGUAGGUGUGGAACACAUGGUUCUUCUUAUGGUGCACUCGUAAAUGG
RNAcentral lists this long non-coding RNA (6754 nucleotides) under Medicago truncatula (barrel medic). RNAcentral describes it as "long non-coding RNA (MTRU_LNC003376)". The record is from RNAcentral. Lineage: Eukaryota; Viridiplantae; Streptophyta; Magnoliopsida; Fabales; Fabaceae.